This 30-nucleotide non-coding RNA is filed under the name Mus musculus (house mouse). The record is from RNAcentral. Lineage: Eukaryota; Metazoa; Chordata; Mammalia; Rodentia; Muridae.
UCUCGCCUUGUUUGCUGUAGACUUGAGUUC